RNAcentral lists this long non-coding RNA (969 nucleotides) under Marmota monax (woodchuck). The record is from RNAcentral. Lineage: Eukaryota; Metazoa; Chordata; Mammalia; Rodentia; Sciuridae.
GUUCUCAACUAUUCUACUUUCUAGAAAACUCAUCUAUUAUUUAGGAGAGAGAAACAUGAAACAACCUGGAGACCAUCAGAGCCUUGGUGUUUUUAUUUGAAACUUCUUGACCUGUAGAACUCCCAAAUGGUAGGGAAUUACUUGAAAUUUGGCACAAAUUUAUCAAAGAGAAUAUAUUCCCAGAGCAACACUUUAUUUUCCGUAUUUUUAUUUGUGCAUUGUAGUUGUAUAUAAUGGUAGAAUUUGUUGUUACAUAUUUAUACAUGCAUACAGUAUCACAAUAUAAUUUGGCCAAUAUCAUUCCCUAGUAUUUCCUCUUCCCCUCCACUCCUCUCUCUUCUUGGUCCCUUUCCUCUUCUCUACUGAUUUUCCUUUGAUUUUUAUGAGUUCUCACCACCUUUCUCAUCCUUUUUCCUGUCUGACUUCUAUAAAAGAAACAAGCCCCUUAAUCUUUGAAUUUGGCUUAUUUUGCUUGACAUAAUGUUCUCAAGUUCCAUCCAUUUUCCUGCAAAUGACAUAAUUGUAUUUUUCUUUAUGGCUGAAUAAAAUUCUAUUGUGUGUGUGUGUGUGUGUGUGUGUGUUUGUGUAUACAUAUAUACAUAGCACAUUUUAUUUAUCCAUUCAUCCAUUUAUGGACACCUAAGCUGGUUCCAUAGUUUGGCUAUUUUGAACUGUGCUGGUAUAAACAUGGGAAUGUUUGUAUUUCUAUGCUAUGAUGAUUUUAAUUCUUUUUUAAAAAAUAUUUUAUUAGUUGUUGGUGGACCUUUAUUUUUAUGUGGUGCUGAGAAUCGAACCCAGUGCCUCACACAUGCUAGGCAAGCACUCUACCACUGAGCCAGAACACCAGUCCUGAUGACUUUAAUUCUUUAAGAUAAAUAUCCAGGAGUGGUAUAGCUGAGUUAUAUGGUAAUUCCAUUCCUAGUCUUGUGAGGAACCUCUGUACUGAAUUGUAUAGUGGUUGUACUAAUU